GUCAUGGCUGGCUAACAAGGGCAUACGAUAUUCACGGAAGAGAGGGAUGGUUACAGGUGUCUUGCAGCCCUACUCUCUUCGUAGACGUUCUGUGGACAGAUCAAGACCUUCACGGAAGAGAGGUAUGGUUACCAGUGUCUUGCAGCCCUACUCUCUGCGUAGACGUUCUGUGGACAGAUCAAGACCUUCACAGGAGAGUGGUGUUGUUACCAGUGUCUUGCAGCCGUACUCUCUGCGUAGACGUUCUGUGGACAGAUCAAGACCUUCACAGGAGAGAGGUAUGGUUACCAGCGUCUUGCAGCCCUACUCUCUGCGCAGACGUUAUGUGGACAGAUCAAAACCUUCAGAAAACAUGGAUCUGGCGCUGAUGGAAAGCAGCUGCGCA
Molecule: long non-coding RNA, 385 nt
Filed under: Triticum aestivum (bread wheat)
Lineage: Eukaryota; Viridiplantae; Streptophyta; Magnoliopsida; Poales; Poaceae
Description: long non-coding RNA (TAES_LNC002945)
Source: RNAcentral